CAGGCUGGUGCACAAUCACAGCUCACCACAGCCUCAACCUCCCAGGCCCAAGCAAUUCCCCUAUCCCAGCCUCCUGAGUAGCAAGUGCACAUCACCAUACCCAGCUAUAUUUUAAAUUUUUUGUAGAGACAGAGUCUCAUCAUUUUGCCCAGGCCUGGACUCAAACUCCUGGGCUCAAGCAAUCCUUCCACCUUGGCCUCUCAAAGUACUGGGAAUUAUAGGCAUGAACCACUGCACCCAGACUAAAAUUAGGAUUUCUUUUUAGUUAUAAAUAGUAUUGAAGAGAGGCUUAUGAGUUUUUAAGGUGUGGUUUUCAGGUAAUGUGGGUUGCUGUUUGGCCUUCCAGUGUGUUCCCUUGAGUGGCUAAUUCUUAUAUUUAGUCAUUCUCCCUUUGACAUAGAGACAGCACAUGACUAUGGCAUUGAGCAAAAGUUUUCAAAAAUUAAUUUUAGCAAUUGAUUCUCUUUCUCCAAAUGCAAUCUGUUGGCUAGGCACAGUGGCUCACGCCUGUAAUUUCAACACUUUGGGAGGCUGAGGUGGGCAGAUCACUUGAGGUCUGGAGUUUGAGACCAGCCUGGCCAACAUGAUGCAACCCAAUCUCGACUAAAAAUACAAAACUUAUCUGGGCAUGGCGGUGCCUAACCCAGGAGGUGGAGGUUGCAGUGAGCCAAGAUUGUGCCACUGCACUCCAGCCUAGGCAACAGAGCGAGACUCCAUCGCAAAAAAAAAAAAAAGCAAUCUGUUGUAGAAUCCUUAAAUGUAAAACGGAUGAAAGCAAAUCUCCUGUUGAAACAGACCUUGGAGGUCAUACCUGUGCCCUCUGCUUCUCCCUCUCUCUUCUCCGCCCUUGCCUCUGAAGCAACAUGAAAAGCUGAGGCUAGGAGCUGUGCUCUUCUAUACUUAGGAGACUGGGAUGCUGGACCAACCUUGAGAAGCCUGUGCUUUAGAACUGAACCUUACUCUGCACUUUAGCCACAGGCUAUCAACGCAGGCUCAGGGGACCAAAACCAAACCUUCCUAUACUGAGAUUAAUGACUGCAAAAAGGGCU
RNAcentral lists this long non-coding RNA (1049 nucleotides) under Homo sapiens (human). RNAcentral's name for it is "HSALNT0008436". The record is from RNAcentral. Lineage: Eukaryota; Metazoa; Chordata; Mammalia; Primates; Hominidae.